Molecule: transfer RNA, 78 nt
Rfam family: tRNA
About the family: Transfer RNA (tRNA) molecules are approximately 80 nucleotides in length. Their secondary structure includes four short double-helical elements and three loops (D, anti-codon, and T loops).
UCUCUGAUAGUAUAUCGGUUAGUACACGCGCCUGUCAUUUGAACGCGCGAAAGCUGGGUUCGACUCCCAGUCAGAGAG